UGGGGAAUAUUGGGCAAUGGGGGAAACCCUGACCCAGCGACGCCGCGUGAGGGAAGAAGGUUUUCGGAUUGUAAACCUCUGUCUUCAGGGACGAUAAUGACGGUACCUGAGGAGGAAGCCACGGCUAACUACGUGCCAGCAGCCGCGGUAAUACGUAGGUGGCAAGCGUUGUCCGAAAUUACUGGGUGUAAAGGGAGCGUAGGCGGUAAGACAAGUUGCGUGUGAAAGGCAUAGGCUUAACCUAUGGAUUGCGCGCAAAACUGUAAUACUUGAGUGAAGUAGAGGCAAGCGGAAUUCCAAGUGUAGAGGUAAAAUUCGUAGAUAUUUGGAGGAACACCAGUGGCGAAGGCGGCUUGCUGGGCUUUUACUGACGCUGAGGCUCGAAAGUGUGGGGAGCAAACA
Molecule: ribosomal RNA, 402 nt
Rfam family: Bacterial small subunit ribosomal RNA